Molecule: ribosomal RNA, 2424 nt
Filed under: Triticum aestivum (bread wheat)
Lineage: Eukaryota; Viridiplantae; Streptophyta; Magnoliopsida; Poales; Poaceae
Description: partial small subunit ribosomal RNA
Source: RNAcentral
AUGGAGGCGGAGGGAAUGGAGUUCCUGCUCGACGCAGUGGACAGAUUUCCCGUACGGGAAGAAUUUGCUGACAGCCUUGAGCAACCAGAUCUAGUGUCGCUCCUCUAUCUGCUGCAGAAUGGGGGUGCAACUGAAGGUCGCGUUGAGGCCAAUGGGGAAUCUGGGCUAGCUCAGGUGGAUGUCGAGGGCGUAGCUGCAGACCGACCACAUGGUGAACGUCGUCCCCAUGCUGAAUCUCCGAUGAGGUCUGCUCAGUCAACUGACAGGGUGAAUCCGCAAGCCCCCGGGUGGACAAAAAGGCUGCGUCUCGGAAGCGCGCCACCCGACCGAGUCCCAUGCCCUUCGAGGAUGAGUGCUCUAGAGAUUUCUAUACGCAAAUAUGCGGAGCAGCCUGACAAGAGUGUGGUUUGGCCUGAGCUGGGGCUCAGUUUCGAUUCGCUUGGCGAGGCAUAUGACUUCUACAACCUAUAUUCUUGGGAAGUCGGUUUCGGAAUAAGAUAUGGAAAGAGCAGACUCAACGCCGAGCGAACGAAAACCAUGCAGGAAAUUGUUUGUGGUUGCUCGGGGAAACCUGAAUCUGAAAACAGCAGGUCCUGCAGAUGUGAGUGCCCUGCUCUGAUCAGGCUUCUGCGUGCAUCGGACAACAGCUGGUACAUAACAGAGCAUCGAGCGAGUCACAGCCAUUCGAUGUCUCUGACAAUGGGAGAGAAGGUGCACUGGCCUUCUCAUAAGCACAUUGAUGUAUACACCAAGGAUUUGAUAAAGCAACUAAGGGAGAACAAUGUUAACCUUGGGAAGGUUUACAACAUUAUUGGGAGCUUCUUUGGGUCACUCGAGAAGGUACCUUUCACAAAAAGGACGCUAAGAAACAUUUGUGGGAAGAUUAGCCGUGAGCAAGCUGAGGAUGAUGUCCGAAAAACACUUCAAGCAUUUGCUGACAUCCAGGCCAACGAUCCAGGAUUUACGUAUGUAGUGUUGGCAGAGAAAGAUAGUAAGAUUAGGAACCUCAUGUGGGCUAAUGGCAGCAGCCGGAUGCAAUACAAAUUCUUUGGUGAUGUAGUUACAUUCGACACGAUGUACAGGACCAACCUGUACGAUAUGCCAUUUGUGCUAUUUGUCGGAGUUAACAACCAUUACCAGAGCAUCAUGGCAGGGGUUUUGAUGCGCGACGAACAAGAAGAGAGCUUCAAAUGGGUGUUCGAGGAAUUUGUCGGGAUGAUGGGCGGGCCAGCGCCGAAGACAAUACUCACAGAUCAGUGCAGAGCUAUGGAGGUUGCAAUCAAGAAAACUUAUCCUGAUACAGUACAUCGUUGGUGCAAAUGGCAUGUCCUAAAAAAGGCGAAGGAAACACUAGGACCACUGUACAACAAGAAGGGUGACUUCCAGGCUGAAUUUCACAAAGUUGUGAACCACAUGCUAACUGAGGAAGAGUUUGAAUCAGCCUGGGCAGCUCUCCUCGACAAGUACAAUUUGAGGAAUCAUAACUACAUGACCCAAAUUUAUGAAACCAGAAGGAAAUGGGCGAAACCAUAUUUCCGGGGUGUUUUCUGUGCAAAAAUGACAAGCACCCAAAGAAGCGAGAGCGCAAACCACAUGCUGAAAUCAUACAUGCCACCAGCCAGCCCAACGCAUGUUUUCGUCCGGCAAUACAUGAAACUGCAGUUUGAUCGAGAACGGGACGAAAGCUACGAGGAGAAGAGGACUAUGAUUGGCGGUGCUGUUAGAUGUACUAACCUUGCUAUAGAGCUUCAUGCCAGCAAGGUUUAUACAAGGAGCAUGUUUGAGGAAUUUGGGCGACUACGUAUCGAAGCAACAUCAUACAAUGUUACUGAGGUGGAGAAGAUGAGGAAGUACAUCACCACUCACAACAAUGCGGCGAAAAGAGAGAAGUGGAGCAGAGUUGAAUAUGAGGUUACCAUUAACGACGACAAAUCAAUAUUCACCUGCGAGUGCGGCCAGUUUGAGCACACGGGCAUGCUGUGCAGCCAUGCCUUGUGGGUUAUGGAAAUUCUGCAUCUAGAAGAAAUCCCUAAAUACCACGUCGUAAAACGGUGGACAAAGGACGCAAGAGACAUACUACCAGGUCACCUAGUCCAGUACCAGAGAGACAAUUCACAGAACAUGUCGUUCACUUGUAGGCAUGCGACACUAUACUUCAAAGCCAUGGAAGUCGUGCGGAUGGGGGACGCAAGUGCUGCAUGCUACGAGCAUGUCAACGCUGCCCUUGAUUCGGUGAUUCGGAGUGCAGCGCCUUUGGCAGAGAAACGUGAUGGACUGGCUUUCGAGGAUCGCGUGAUUCCAACGGCUGAUGUCAGGAUAUCUGCCAGCGGCGAGCAAGCAAAUGCUGAUCGAGAGGCCGACCAUUGCGCAAGUGCCGGAAAUUCAUUCAGCACGAAUGCCAUGCAGUGCCUCACAGCACCAUAG